Molecule: long non-coding RNA, 399 nt
Filed under: Hordeum vulgare
Lineage: Eukaryota; Viridiplantae; Streptophyta; Magnoliopsida; Poales; Poaceae
Description: long non-coding RNA (HVUL_LNC011096)
Source: RNAcentral
CAAAAGAUGUACUGUACAGCUGUACUAGACAGAUGAUCAUAAAUAAUUAUAAACAAACUGAGCUAUCAGAGAUUGUUCACCCUCAUGAAUCAUACUCGUUCAUAUAUAAUCAGAGUUUCUUCCUUCAGCUAGAUGCAUACAAGUAUUUUCAAAUUUCAAAUAUAGUUUUCUUCCACAUUUCAGCAGGCAUAAAGCAUGUUUGAGAUUGAGGCAAGGAGAUCAUGAAGUAGAACAAGACCUUCAAGCAACAGGCGCGGGCCGACGAUCACGCGCGGACGUUGACGGGCGCCAUGCGGACGACGAUUUCCCCGGCGCCUGGUGCGGCCGCCGGCUGCUCCUGGACGGUGGCGACGAGCUUCUUGUACAGCGCGAAGAGCAGGCAGGUGACCAGGAGAGCCC